GACGAACGCUGGCGGCGUGCCUAAUACAUGCAAGUAGAACGCUGAAGAGAGGAGCUUACUCUUCUUGGAUGAGUUGCGAACGGGUGAGUAACGCGUAGGUAACCUGCCUUGUAGCGGGGGAUAACUAUUGGAAACGAUAGCUAAUACCGCAUAACAAUGGAUGACACAUGUCAUUUAUUUGAAAGGGGCAAUUGCUCCACUACAAGAUGGACCUGCGUUGUAUUAGCUAGUAGGUGAGGUAAUGGCUCACCUAGGCGACGAUACAUAGCCGACCUGAGAGGGUGAUCGGCCGCACUGGGACUGAGACACGGCCCAGACUCCUACGGGAGGCAGCAGUAGGGAAUCUUCGGCAAUGGGGGCAACCCUGACCGAGCAACGCCGCGUGAGUGAAGAAGGUUUUCGGAUCGUAAAGCUCUGUUGUAAGUCAAGAACGGGUGUGAGAGUGGAAAGUUCACACUGUGACGGUAGCUUACCAGAAAGGGACGGCUAACUACGUG
RNAcentral lists this ribosomal RNA (497 nucleotides) under uncultured bacterium. RNAcentral's name for it is "partial 16S ribosomal RNA". It matches the Rfam family "Bacterial small subunit ribosomal RNA", at positions 28 to 507 of the family's 1533-position model. The record is from RNAcentral.